AUUGAACGCUGGCGGCAGGCCUAACACAUGCAAGUCGAGCGGAGCGGCGGACGGGUGAGUAAUGUAUGGGGAUCUGCCCGAUUGAGGGGGAUAACUACUGGAAACGGUGGCUAAUACCGCAUACUAUCGGAUGAACCCAGAUGGGAUUAGCUAGUUGGUGGGGUAAAGGCCUACCCAGGCGACGAUCCGUAACUGGUCUGAGAGGAUGAUCAGGCACACUGGAACGGAGACACGGUCCAGACUCCUACGGGAGGCAGCAGUGGGGAAUAUUGGACAAUGGGCGAAAGCCUGAUCCAGCCAUGCCGCGUGUGUGAAGAAGGUCUUCGGGUUGUAAAGCACUUUCAGUUGGGAGGCGUUACCAGCAGAAUAAGCACCGGCUAACUUCGUGCCAGCCGCCGCGGUAAUAC
RNAcentral lists this ribosomal RNA (407 nucleotides) under uncultured bacterium. RNAcentral's name for it is "partial 16S ribosomal RNA". It matches the Rfam family "Bacterial small subunit ribosomal RNA", at positions 30 to 526 of the family's 1533-position model. The record is from RNAcentral.